Molecule: ribosomal RNA, 247 nt
Filed under: Colwellia sp. SL5
Lineage: Bacteria; Pseudomonadati; Pseudomonadota; Gammaproteobacteria; Alteromonadales; Colwelliaceae
Description: partial 16S ribosomal RNA
Source: RNAcentral
CCUUUCCUCCUCGCUGAAAGUGCUUUACAACCCGAAGGCCUUCUUCACACACGCGGCAUGGCUGCAUCAGGCUUUCGCCCAUUGUGCAAUAUUCCCCACUGCUGCCUCCCGUAGGAGUCUGGGCCGUGUCUCAGUCCCAGUGUGGCUGAUCAUCCUCUCAAACCAGCUAGAGAUCGUCGCCUUGGUAAGCCAUUACCUUACCAACUAGCUAAUCUCACUUGGGCUAAUCAAUGAGCGAGAGGUGCCG